RNAcentral lists this ribosomal RNA (858 nucleotides) under uncultured bacterium. RNAcentral describes it as "bacterial SSU rRNA". It matches the Rfam family "Bacterial small subunit ribosomal RNA", at positions 28 to 865 of the family's 1533-position model. The record is from RNAcentral.
GACGAACGCUGGCGGCGUGCCUAACACAUGCAAGUCAAGGGGAAAGGCGGACUUCGGUUUGCCGAGUAUACUGGCGGACGGGUGAGUAACGCGUAGGCAACCUGCCCCUAUGCCUGGGAUAACCUCGAGAAAUCGGGGCUAAUACCGGAUAAGGUUAUCGUAACGCAUGUUAUGAUAAUCAAAGGUGCCGCAAGGUACUGCAUAGGGGUGGGCCUGCGUUCCAUUAGCUAGAUGGUGAGGUAACGGCUCACCAUGGCGACGAUGGAUAGCUGAUCUGAGAGGAUGAUCAGCCACACUGGGAUUGAGAUACGGCCCAGACUCCUACGGGAGGCAGCAGUGAGGAAUAUUGCGCAAUGGGGGCAACCCUGACGCAGCAACGCCGCGUGGGGGAAGAAGCUCUAUGGAGUGUAAACCCCUGUAGGUAGGGAAGAAAGUCAUGGCUUCGCAAGGGGUCAUGUUUGACGGUACCUGCAAAGUAAGCUCCGGCUAACUCCGUGCCAGCAGCCGCGGCAAUACGGGGGGAGCAAGCGUUGUCCGGAAUCACUGGGCGUAAAGGGCGUGUAGGCGGUCUGGUAAGUCAGAUGUGAAAUCCCACGGCUUAACCGUGGCAUUGCAUUUGAAACUGCCAGACUUGAGUGCGAGAGAGGGUAGUGGAAUUCCCGGUGUAGCGGUGAAAUGCGUAGAUAUCGGGAAGAACACCAGUAGCGAAGGCGGCUACCUGGCUCGUAACUGACGCUAAGGCGCGAAAGCGUGGGGAGCAAACAGGAUUAGAUACCCUGGUAGUCCACGCCGUAAACGAUGGGCACUAGGUGUUGGGGCCGACAUGUCGGCCUCAGUGCCGCAGCCAACGCAUUAAGU